Molecule: long non-coding RNA, 804 nt
Organism: Pleuronectes platessa (European plaice)
Lineage: Eukaryota; Metazoa; Chordata; Actinopteri; Pleuronectiformes; Pleuronectidae
Exons: 3
Source: RefSeq, a predicted model, not a curated record
AGAGGAGAAUUAAACCUUUUACAGCAUUGCUCAAACUUUGGUUUUAGUCUCAAUCGCUAAGUUCUUCCUUCAUGACAACUCUGAGGGGGGUGUAUUUUAUUUUAACUCCCUCGUUUAAGCGAUAUAGAUGUUUGAAAUUCACGUGACGCCACAGUGUAAGCUGUGCUGUGUGUUGUGAGUUCGGCUUUAACCAGGUACAAGUGAACGCCUCAUGAAAUGGCUUACACCCACAUACCCAGUAAAUUACACACUUUGAUGUUCUGCUCCUUCUCCUGACGGUCACGGUAACGAUGUCUGCGCCUCCGUUUCUGUGGAUGUCCAGCGUAAGACACAACUUGAAUCCAACCAGACUGAACACUGACUCCAGGGACGGACGAGCCUGAAGGACACAGCUGUGAUGACCAUGUUCUGUCUCUUAUGACAAAGCAGAAAUAUAAAACACUGGGUUCUUAUCUAAAGUGUAUCAAAUCAGAUCUCCACCAUGUUGCUGCUGAGGACAUCAGGUGCUGCAGUUCUUCAUCUAUGAAGAUGAAAAAACUCACUGUUAAAGAAUGUUUUGUGUUGUGUAUGAAGCACAACAGAUUUCAGAUAGAACCGUUGUACUGUGGUCUGGGUUUGUAUCCUAAUGGUUAAAUGCACAUAUUUUAAGUCGCUUUUGAUAAAAGUACUGAAAGAAAUACAACAUUGUAAAAAUAGAUAAAAUGUCUUUCUACCUCAUCUGUAAUAUUCAAGGUGAUAAUCUCCCACAGAGCUAUUGAUAACAGUCCACAUCAAGUCUCUCCACUUCCCUCGGUGUGAAAACAU